AAAGUAGCAAUACUUUGGUGGCGACCGGCGCACGGGUGAGUAACGCGUAUGCAACCCCCUUAUAAGAGGGGAAUAACCCGGCGAAAGUCGGACUAAUCCCGCAUAAAACAGGGACACCGCAUGGUGAUAUUUGUUAAAGAAAUUCGCUGAUAGAUGGGCAUGCGUUCCAUUAGGUAGUUGGUGAGGUAACGGCUCACCAAGCCGACGAUGGAUAGGGGAACUGAGAGGUUGGUCCCCCACACUGGUACUGAGACACGGACCAGACUCCUACGGGAGGCAGCAGUGAGGAAUAUUGGUCAAUGGGCGAGAGCCUGAACCAGCCAAGUCGCGUGAAGGAAGAAGGAUCUAUGGUUCGUAAACUUCUUUUGCAGGGGAAUAAAGUGCAGGACGUGUCCUGUUUUGUAUGUACCCUGAGAAUAAGGAUCGGCUAACUCCGUGCCAGCAGCCGCGGUAAUACGGAGGAUCCGAGCGUUAUCCGGAUUUAUUGGGUUUAAAGGGUGCGUAGGUGGUUUGAUAAGUCAGCGGUGAAAGUUUGCAGCUUAACUGUAAAAAUGCCGUUGAAACUGUCGGACUUGAGUGUAAAUGAGGUAGGCGGAAUGCGUGGUGUAGCGGUGAAAUGCUUAGAUAUCACGAAGAACUCCGAUUG
Molecule: ribosomal RNA, 646 nt
Filed under: uncultured Bacteroidales bacterium
Lineage: Bacteria; Pseudomonadati; Bacteroidota; Bacteroidia; Bacteroidales
Description: bacterial SSU rRNA
Rfam family: Bacterial small subunit ribosomal RNA
Source: RNAcentral